Molecule: ribosomal RNA, 261 nt
Filed under: Limosilactobacillus reuteri
Lineage: Bacteria; Bacillati; Bacillota; Bacilli; Lactobacillales; Lactobacillaceae
Description: Lactobacillus reuteri partial 23S ribosomal RNA
Rfam family: Bacterial large subunit ribosomal RNA
Source: RNAcentral
GGCUCGGUCCUAGGUAGGAGAGGGCCGGGAGAGAAAGGCCACUGGUGACACAGUUGUGCCGCCGGGGGCUCCGCUGGGUAGUUGGGUAGGGAGGAGAUAAACGCUGGAAGCAUCUAAGUGGGAAACUCGCCGCGAGAUGAGAUUUCCCAUUUCCUUCGGGAAAGUAAGACCCCUCAGAGAUGAUGAGGUAGAUAGGAUGGAAGUGGAAGUGCCGUGAGGCAUGGAGCGGACCAUUACUAAUCGGUCGAGGACUUAACCAAG